GUCAGAUAGGGGGAGGUAGGGACGGGAAUACGUGGGUGGCAGGGGUUGGCGGGGAUUAGUGUGGGUAAAGCGGUCUGAGGAGGGUGGUCGCGACGGAUGUUAAAGCCCGGGGCAUAACCCCGGGUCUGCAUUCUAGACGGGCAGGGUGGGGUGGGGGAGGGGAGAUCGGAAUUCCUGGGGUAGCGGUGAAAUGCGCAGAUAUCAGGAGGAACACCGGUGGCGUAGGCGGAUCUCUGGGCCAUUACUGACGCUGAGGAGCGAAAGCGUGGGGAGCGAACAGGAUUAGAUACCCCGGUAGUC
Molecule: ribosomal RNA, 300 nt
Filed under: uncultured Staphylothermus sp.
Lineage: Archaea; Thermoproteati; Thermoproteota; Thermoprotei; Desulfurococcales; Desulfurococcaceae
Description: partial 16S ribosomal RNA
Rfam family: Bacterial small subunit ribosomal RNA (bases 55-300)
Source: RNAcentral